This 301-nucleotide ribosomal RNA is filed under the name uncultured bacterium. RNAcentral's name for it is "partial 16S ribosomal RNA". It matches the Rfam family "Bacterial small subunit ribosomal RNA", at positions 509 to 809 of the family's 1533-position model. The record is from RNAcentral.
CAGCAGCCACGGUAAUACGAAGGGUGCAAGCGUUAAUCGGAAUUACUGGGCGUAAAGCGCGCGUAGGUGGUUCAUUAAGUUGGAUGUGAAAGCCCUGGGCUCAACCUGGGAACUGCAUCCAAAACUGGUGAGCUAGAGUACGGUAGAGGGUAGUGGAAUUUCCUGUGUAGCGGUGAAAUGCGUAGAUAUAGGAAGGAACACCAGUGGCGAAGGCGACUACCUGGACUGAUACUGACACUGAGGUGCGAAAGCGUGGGGAGCAAACAGGAUUAGAUACCCCCGUAGUCCCUGUCUCUUAUAU